GUGAGGAAUAUUGCGCAAUGGGGGCAACCCUGACGCAGCAACGCCGCGUGAGUGAGGAAGGUCUUCGGAUCGUAAAGCUCUGUCGGGUGGGAAGAAGUGUAUAUAAGUUAAUAGCUUGUGUACUUGACGGUACCGCCAAAGGAAGCACCGGCUAACUCCGUGCCAGCAGCCGCGGUAAUACGGGGGGUGCAAGCGUUGUUCGGAAUCAUUGGGCGUAAAGAGCGUGUAGGCGGCUAGGCAAGUCAGAUGUGAAAUCCCUGGGCUUAACCCAGGAAGUGCAUUUGAAACUGCUUAGCUUGAGUAAGGAAGAGGGAAGUGGAAUUCCUGGUGUAGAGGUGAAAUUCGUAGAUAUCAGGAGGAACACCGGUGGCGAAGGCGACUUCCUGGUCCUAUACUGACGCUGAGACGCGAGAGCGUGGGGAGCAAACAGGAUUAGAAACCCUGGUAGUCC
Molecule: ribosomal RNA, 451 nt
Filed under: uncultured bacterium
Lineage: Bacteria
Description: partial 16S ribosomal RNA
Rfam family: Bacterial small subunit ribosomal RNA
Source: RNAcentral